UCAGCUAUGAGAACGCUGUGUUAGCAAGCAAAGGACGUUUAUGUCUAACGGUAAUCACACAUUUCAUUCCAGGGACUCCGAAUCAAGUCCGACACCUGAUAAGGUAUCGGACUAGCAAGGAGGACCUCUUCACCAAAAAGAAAUACGCUGCUAAAGCGCUAUGGGAGAAACUCAUCAAAGAACUGGACCUGGAGGGCAAGGUGACCACAGCACAGGUUUCCAAGAAAUGGGAAAACCUCAAAAAGAAAUAUAAGGACCUCAAAACUCCCAAGACUGGGUCAGGGAC
This is a long non-coding RNA of Salarias fasciatus (jewelled blenny), 286 nucleotides long. RefSeq lists it as uncharacterized. NCBI's taxonomy places the organism in Eukaryota, Metazoa, Chordata, Actinopteri, Blenniiformes, Blenniidae. The record is from RefSeq and is a predicted model, not a curated record. The transcript is spliced from 3 exons.